RNAcentral lists this ribosomal RNA (460 nucleotides) under uncultured bacterium. Its description in RNAcentral is "partial 16S ribosomal RNA". It matches the Rfam family "Bacterial small subunit ribosomal RNA", at positions 338 to 795 of the family's 1533-position model. The record is from RNAcentral.
CCUACGGGAGGCAGCAGUGAGGAAUAUUGGUCAAUGGGCGAGAGUCUGAACCAGCCAAGUCGCGUGAAGGCUGAAGGACCUAUGGUUUGUAAACUUCUUUUAUAUGGGAAUAAAGUGAGGAACGUGUUGCAUUUUGUAUGUACCAUAUGAAUAAGGAUCGGCUAACUCCGUGCCAGCAGCCGCGGUAAUACGGAGGAUGCGAGCGUUAUCCGGAUUUAUUGGGUUUAAAGGGUGCGUAGGUGGUUUAUUAAGUCAGUGGUGAAAGUUUGUGGCUCAACCGUAAAAUUGCAGUUGAAACUGGAUGUCUUGAGUAUAGUUGAGGUAGGCGGAAUGCGUGGUGUAGCGGUGAAAUGCGUAGAUAUCACGAAGAACUCCGAUUGCGAAGGCAGCUUACUAGACUAUAACUGACACUGAGGCGCGAAAGCGUGGGGAUCAAACAGGAUUAGAUACCCGUGUAGUC